Molecule: ribosomal RNA, 402 nt
Filed under: uncultured bacterium
Lineage: Bacteria
Description: bacterial SSU rRNA
Rfam family: Bacterial small subunit ribosomal RNA
Source: RNAcentral
UGGGGAAUAUUGCACAAUGGGCGAAAGCCUGAUGCAGCAACGCCGCGUGAGUGAUGAAGGCCUUCGGGUUGUAAAGCUCUGUCUUCUGGGACGAUAAUGACGGUACCAGAGGAGGAAGCCACGGCUAACUACGUGCCAGCAGCCGCGGUAAUACGUAGGUGGCAAGCGUUGUCCGGAUUUACUGGGCGUAAAGGAUGCGUAGGCGGAUACUUAAGUCAGAUGUGAAAAUCCCGGGCUUAACUUGGGAACUGCAUUUGAAACUGGGUAUCUAGAGUGCGGGAGAGGACAGUGGAAUUCCUAGUGUAGCGGUGAAAUGCGUAGAGAUUAGGAAGAACACCAGUGGCGAAGGCGACUUUCUGGACCGUAACUGACGCUGAGGCAUGAAAGCGUGGGGAGCAAACA